GUAGGUGAACCUGCGGAAGGAUCAUUAAUGAGUUGUCAUGGGGUUCGAUGCUGGCAGCCAAUUUUUGGAUGCAUGUGCUUGCCCUAACAAUCAUCUUCCAAACACCUGUGCACAUUUUUGAGGGAGUCUUGAGUUGGUUGCCGCUCUUGGGUGAUUUUCUCACAUUCCCUUAAAUCAUUAUACGCUAUUAACAAUGUUGAACGUGCUCUGUGCCGCAAGGCUAUUAAUAUAAUACAACUUUUAACAACGGAUCUCUUGGCUCUC
Molecule: unclassified non-coding RNA, 264 nt
Filed under: plant metagenome
Description: partial contains small subunit ribosomal RNA, internal transcribed spacer 1, and 5.8S ribosomal RNA
Source: RNAcentral